GAUCCUGGCUCAGGAUGAACGCUGGCGGCGUGCUUAACACAUGCAAGUCGAACGGGGUGCUCAUGACGGAGGAUUCGUCCAACGGAUUGAGUUACCUAGUGGCGGACGGGUGAGUAACGCGUGAGGAACCUGCCUUGGAGAGGGGAAUAACACCCCGAAAGGAGUGCUAAUACCGCAUAAUGCAGUUGGGUCGCAUGGCUCUGACUGUCAAAGNUUUAUCGCUCUGAGAUGGCCUCG
Molecule: ribosomal RNA, 237 nt
Filed under: uncultured bacterium
Lineage: Bacteria
Description: partial 16S ribosomal RNA
Rfam family: Bacterial small subunit ribosomal RNA
Source: RNAcentral